UACGUAGGGUGCAAGCGUUGUCCGGAAUUAUUGGGCGUAAAGAGCUCGUAGGCGGUCUGUCGCGUCGGAUGUGAAAACUUGGGGCUCAACUCCAAGCCUGCAUUCGAUACGGGCAGACUAGAGUUCGGUAGGGGAGACUGGAAUUCCUGGUGUAGCGGUGAAAUGCGCAGAUAUCAGGAGGAACACCGGUGGCGAAGGCGGGUCUCUGGGCCGAUACUGACGCUGAGAAGCGAAAGCAUGGGGAGCGAACAGG
RNAcentral lists this ribosomal RNA (253 nucleotides) under uncultured bacterium. RNAcentral's name for it is "partial 16S ribosomal RNA". It matches the Rfam family "Bacterial small subunit ribosomal RNA", at positions 524 to 776 of the family's 1533-position model. The record is from RNAcentral.